Molecule: long non-coding RNA, 5046 nt
Organism: Pezoporus occidentalis (night parrot)
Lineage: Eukaryota; Metazoa; Chordata; Aves; Psittaciformes; Psittacidae
Exons: 2
Source: RefSeq, a predicted model, not a curated record
ACAAAAAAAAAAAACAAAUGAUAAACAAGCAGUGUUUAAUUUAUUCUUUUUUGAUAGACAUCCAGUUGUGACUGGAGAAACAGUUAUUUCUGAGGAAAGACUAAGGGUAGUUUCUUUUUCCCAAAGUGAUUCAAAGGAGAGGUAGUCUAUGAACAGGUUAAAUAUGUGGUAUUAAGCCACAGAUGCCAGUAAUAUGUAAUGAUGUAGUGGAACAUUAGAAAAUACCAAGGAGCUGAACUUAGGUUUGGAAUAGAGUUGGGAUUUUCAAUGCUCUUAAGUUUUAGUUUGUUUUUAUUUUGGUGUAUAUAUGUCAUUAUACUGUGUUUUAUUGGUCUACCAUGUUCUGUGUUAUCUCCAUGGAAUGUUUGUGAAGGAAUAUGAAACAAUUCACCAAACUUAAAAGUGAUGAAGAUAAUCAAAAAACAGCAACGAAAAUGUGCGGAUUUGGUACAAGCUUUACUAGGUAUUACUACACUGGAAGUAUUGCUUCUGCAUCUCUUGUCAUGUUACUAAUGUUCCUUACUCUUAGAAUACCAGGAAUGUUAUUCAUUAGUCCCAUGUCUGAAGAACACAGAUGAACUCAGUUUGCCAGAGCUCAUGUAGGAGGGGUUCCAUCCAUAUGGAGGACAUUGUGGUCACCCACCAGAAGACAUGACCAAUGCAGUGAAACAUGAGUUUCUACGGAUGUCAGAUUCUGAAGUUUCCCUGAUUUACUCUGGUUCAGUAUGGAAUGCGUGGAUUUUACAGACGCACUGUGCUAUGCAUUCUUCUCCUUCCUUGCAUGGCAAGAGAAGACGGUCAGAAAUGGUUAUCUACCAUGUGAAUUUCAACUUGACAGUCUGUUAAAUCCCAAGGGUAGCAUGUGCAUUGGCUAAUGUUUGGCUUGGCAUCUGCAGACAGAACAAGUCUUCUGAAGUCUCAUAAAAAGUUGUGAUGAUCAGAAGAAAAUGAAGGACAUGCAACACAUGCUGUCUUCCACAUGUCAUUCUGUUCCUUUUUUUUUUUUAAUUCAUUUUCUCUCUCCUCUUCUAGACACCUGCAGAUUCAGACAUUACAGUAUCUGCACACAAAAGAUGCAGUGCAGUGAUACAACCCGUUCCCCUCUGCUAUAAGCUGUUCUGGCUACCUUCCUAAAAAUUUCAGUAAAUAUGUACAAAAGCAAAAGUUUCAGCAGGUUUUUUUUCAGGGGGAGAGGGAGGAGAAGGGCAAGCGGUCCUUGCUACAACCAAAACUUUUGCAGUUUUACAUUAUAGAAACACUCAGACCUCUGUUCUCCAUCCCAGCUUAAUAGCCAUAGGGAAUCUAAAAGAGCUUUCUUCAACCCAUCCCAAAAUAAAUGAAUAAAUAAAUAAGUAAAUAAAUAAAAUAAUAAUCUAACAAGUAACAGAUGUUUAAACUUGCUUCAGCUGCAAUUAAAGCAAAGUUUUUGUGCUACAGAGCCUCUUUUAAAGCUCUGCACAGUCCUUCUAUUUGUCAGUGGCUGUUCUUGUGGUAGGGCUAGAAAGUUCUUUUCUCCUUAGGCCAUCUCCAUCAACUCUGCACUGUUUCAUAUAAAAGAACUUUAAUGAAUGUGCUUGGUUAGCUCUUCCUUAGCCCACCAAAGCAUCAGACUUCACAGACUGUUUUAUUCUUUUACUAAGUUUCUUUGCAAUUUCCUCACUAAGUCACUUCUCACUGGGGUUAACAAAACAAAACAAAUGUGCAACUCCUAGUUCAAGUCAGAGCAAGACUUUUGGUAGUCAAAAUACAAAACUCAUGCAUCCAGUCAUUCUAAAAAGAGAUUUGUAGUAUUUCUGUAUCAAAAAGCAAGUGUGCUGUGGUAAGUAUAGUUCAGAACAGCUAAGGGUUUAAACAAUGAGGCAAUAAUACAGUAUUGUACAACUGCUGAAAAAGGGCAGGGGCAAGUAAGAGACAAAGUGUUCAACAAAGUAUUUUCAGGUGAUUUAAUACUUUUUGCUAAAGUACAUGAUAACAAAGGUCACUUUGUGAUAGCAGUUGUCUUUGGGGUUUAGUAAACAGAACUAUAUUAUUGUUGGAGUGUGUUCUAACUUAGGCCUCUUUUCCAAAUAGCUGAGGGUUUUUUUUUCUUAUUUUCCUUUACAUUGAUGAAGUACCAUAUUCCACAAACAGCCUUUUUAUAGUCAGUGAUCCUGAUUUUCAUCUGUAUUAGGACAUCCUCUCUUUUUUUUUUUUGGUUGUAUAGUGACAUUCAGGCCUGAACUCCAGUGAGGUACUAUAAAACUGCCUCAUUCAUUAUAGUAUGUUGUCAAACCAAAGUGAGUUAAGAAAAAACAAACUCCCAAAACAGAGUUACAGGCAAAUUUUGUAGAGAUUUUUCUUAGCAAAGAGACUUUUCAUGGCAUGUAGUUUGAUGAGCAUUAAUUAAGAAUGAAGAGUAUUUUUUUGUCAUGGAAGUGCCAAGGAAGGUAGAUGUUUGAAUAUUAACUCAGUGGUAGGCAAUAUCACUUGAAAAUCACACUUUUUCAGUGUCUCAGGCCACAUAACUCAUACGAUGAGUGAGGUGAAGGGCUUGAUGCAUUUCAGAAAGAUGCAUGGGCAGGCUUUCUGUUGUGGGGCAACAUUCAGGGAAAGUUAAAUCCAGUGACAGAAUGUCUGCUUAACUCAUAAAUCUCUAGAAAUUUUUCAGUUUUGGCCUGGAGUGAUGUUUAUGUGCAUGUCAGUGAACUUAAAAUCAAAGCCUCUUGCCUGGCCUACGGGAAAGGAAAUGCAUCAUGAGAAUAGGACACCUUCCAACACUAAGGAUUCCUUAUAAUUUUCCACUGAACACCUCCAGGUUAAUAUUGUAGCAACAAGACUCUCACAGUGGAAUGUAUUGAACAGUCCUUUCUUGAUUAAUGUUGUACUUCUUUAGAAAGGAUAUAAAGGUCAAGGUGACAAGGACUACAGUGAUUUACUGGCAGAAAUCUGUUAGGUAUUUUGAAGGCUGUUAUUCAAAUGUCUGAUGUAUUUCCAAACAAAUGCUUGAACUUGGACUGCAUGGUUUGAUUCAAGGCUGCUGGAAAGGAGAGAGCAACAGACUUGUGCCUAUUACUAAAAAAACUGAAUGAAUAAACAAAUUUCUCAAGGGCUUUUCUGGUCUAGACUACAAGUGUCAGGCCCUUCUGACUUCCAGAGUUGAUGCUGUCUUAGUGACACAUACUGUCUACCACUGCCUCUGCAAAGUGUGCCUCUGCAUGCUACCAUGUUACCAAAACAACCAGCACCUGUAAGUUUAUUCCUAGUGAUGUCUAAGGAAAAUGGAUUUCCAUUCAUUAUAAAACAAUUUACCCCUUAGCUGGGGGCAGUUUUCAUCAGUUCAAAAGCAAUGACAUACUAGUGACAGAUUAACAUGUUAUUUCUAAUUUCUUCACUUUUAGUUUUCUAAAGAUGCAAGUAUGAGAACUUUAAAAAUUGUUCUUUUUUAAGAUGUUUGAAAUGGUUUUUAAGAAGCACUAAGGCUUAGUGAUCUGCUUGGGUAUUAGGAUGUUGUUGAGCAAGUCAACUUCUGUAUAUUCUUAGUGUAAUAAAUCUAGACUAUUUAGCAGUCUAAUUUGUAUAAAAUCUUGUGUGAUCUGACUAUAUGUUAUGCUUUUUUAAAACAUUUACAUGGUUCUUAUAUCUCUUUGGCUUAGUAUUUCAGGUGAAAACUAAGAAAAUCCUAGCAUGUUGUCUUUCCGUUUUAACUUGUUAUAAAACAAACAUAAGAUGUAUCAUAUUUAGCAUUAUUUUAGUUUAAGCAGUACUAUUUUUUAAUUGAAUCUUUUAGAAACUGUGGCAAGAUUCUCCACUGUAGGUACAAGAUACCCAUAUCCUACCCACUGCAACUUUGCAUGCUGAAGAUCCUCUAUACAGAAAAAACUAGUUGGAUGUACUUACAUAAAUGCCUUUUGCUGUAUCCUUGAGUAAAGCCCUGUGAGUUCACAUGUAACAGGAUGAAACAGAAGGCAGAUUGCAUAGGCCAGAUUAAAGCAUUCAGAGCUAGGAGAUGAGUCACAAAGGGUAACAUUAUUCCUGAUGAAAAUUCAAGAUUAACAUAUUUUUAACCCUGCUUUCCUGCAGAUCUCGCUACAAAAGGCCAAAGCCUUGGCCAGAGAAGAGACCAUAGCUAAAUCAGGUGGCACUUCAAAGUUGAGUUGCUGCUGAUGUACAAAGCUCUUGCUGGCUUCCCUCAUGUCCCCUCAAAUAUUCCAGGCUUAGAGAUGGGCCUGUGGUCUUUCAGUAACAUGUCCAGAAAGGUUUGAUGAAGUCAUCUUAAUGGAAGUCUGUCGAACUAUUCCCCUUAAGGUAGUUCUGUGUGAAAAGAUGAAGUAGGAAUUAUCAUUUCCAUUGCUAAAUGCAAACUCUUAUUAAAUGUGCAUAUUUUUACUACAGUCAAACUUCACUGACUGUAGAAGAGUCAUGGGCAAGAUGUGUGGGGUUUUUUCAUCAUUCUUAUUUCUGGGAGUCGAGCACAACAGGCAGGGCAACUUUACUGACAUGUAGUGGCUAUUGGCUUUGAGAAUAAUUUUGGUUAGAUUUCAGUCUGUUAUCUCAAUCUUCUGUGCUUUAUCAUCUUGAAGAAGUUGGAGAACAAUUUAAAAAUGGAUAGAUGUUUGGCAUUUGGGGAUAAUGAGCACAGAGCCUUGGGUGACAUGGUUUAGCAUGAAGUGUCCCUGCCCAUGGCAGAGAGGUUGGAACUAGAUGAUCUUAAGGUCCUUUCCAACCCUAACUAUUCUAUGAUUCUAUGAUUACAUUAUAAUCUUUCCUUUAUAAAAUUGAUUGAAUGAGACUGUAAUGUCUGUUUAAAAUAAAAACCUAGGGUAGCUGUAGGUCCAUGGACUGAUAUGCCUAGGAGCAAUGUCAUGUCAUCUCUCUCUGCUCACACUUUUAUUCAUCAUCUAUCCUCUUAGGCUUAAAAGAAGCGCCUUUAAGAUCACAGAAUAUAAGUUUAAAUGGUCUCUGAUCUCAUUGUUCUGAUUUUUUCCUGAUCAUAGAAUUAAACUUGAAACAGCUAGGUCAUCAAUGCAAUGGUUUUUAACUGUACCACCACGAGAUCAAAAAAACAAA